This is a long non-coding RNA of Nicotiana tabacum (common tobacco), 1413 nucleotides long. RefSeq lists it as uncharacterized. Lineage: Eukaryota; Viridiplantae; Streptophyta; Magnoliopsida; Solanales; Solanaceae. The record is from RefSeq and is a predicted model, not a curated record.
CCCCCCUUUCCCAGCCCCUGCCCGCAUCCCUUGCCACUCGUACUCGCCGGAAAACUCAGUAAAUCGGCCGAGUUAACUCACAUGGUCCCCUCAUGGUCCCCGCUCAUCAUUAGGAUUUGAUUCUACGCGUUUUUUUCCUAUUUUUCAUUUUUCGGAUUUCUCUUUUAGGCAAAAUAGGAAAAAUGGGGUGCGUAGGAUUGAGUUGCACUCGAUCUACUCCCUCCAUUUCUCUUAUCUCACCAAUAUAAGAGAUUUUCCGAUUUUGGUUUUGAUUUUUCGGAGAAUUUCGUGGGGAUUUUCGGAUUUUUGAGGGGUUUUUGCGAUUUCUUGCAGAGGAAGGAGAGAAGCUUCGGGAGGGUGCUAUAUAUUUGGGUCUGGAUAGAGAUUGAAAGGAGACAGAGAAAAUUGGAGAAAAGAGGAGGGUUUGAUUUUCAGAGAUCUAUUUUUCCUUUUUCUGGGUUUGCUUCUGUUUUUUUCUUUUAUUUCAAAGAGUCAAAAAAAAAAAAAAUCAAAAAAAAAAAUAAUCAGAAAAUAGGGAGUCUUGGAGAGGAGGAAAAAUCGAAAUAGAGAUUUUUUUUAGAAAAAAUAGGAAAGGUUUAAUGGUUUGGUCCUGAUUCUCUGAUUUUGAUUCAAUUUUAAAAUGACGAAAACAAAUAUUGUGGUCUCUUCUUUGUGAUUCGGAUUUUCGAAACGGAGUGAAGCAGAGUUGGAUGUUCGAUUUGUGGAAUUGCUGUUCGAGUCUUCCGGUUGCAGUUCGUCGUCGUUGCUCAUUUUAACUGUUGUAAUUUUCCGAGAGAUUAAUUGAAAAGCUUUAACAGACCAUUUUGGUUGAGUUUGGAGCUGCUGUGUUGCUGGUAUUCUGGAGUGCUUCGCGAUCGCGGAGCUAGGAUCAAGAUUGCAGAGAAGAAUUUGGCCAAUCAGGGCUUUGUGCUUCGUGUUCGCAAUGGUUCCUUCACGUUCACGUGUUGUAAGCAGACUGGUAUACGAGUUCACAUGUCUCUAAUUGUGUUCGCGUAGAACGGGAGCGUGGCCGGUGUCUGGUUAAUGCAUUCGCGGUUGGUCAGACGCUUCGCGAUGUUGUGAGAGCAGCAGGCCUUCGCGAUUGCAUGGCCUCUUUCGCGAUCGCGUAGAGCAUUUUCCUGAGCAGCAGUGUUUUGUGCUUCGCGAAUGCGAAACUUGUGCCAUGUUCGCGAAGGGUACUUCUGGGCAGAUUAUUUAAGAUAUUAUUUCAAGACUUUUACUCAGUCUCUCAUAUUCUAAGCCAUAGACUUGGAAAUAGGUGAUUUUUCAUGGGGAUUUUCAUGCAAGGCAAGAGGGAAAGUGAUUUCUACCUAUUUGUGAUUAUAAUUCAAAGAUCUACAUGGACUCCUACAUCCAAAAAUAUUGAAAGAAAAUUUGGGGUUUUUGCCUAUA